GGGUUCUUUUCAGAGACGCACAAUCCUGACUUUUAACUUCCAAAUCUUUUGUUGGACACAAACAUCUUGGAUGAAAUCAUAUCGAUUUGCCACCUAAGAGGAAGAGAGUUUAGAACAUCAUACAAUAUUUGAUGAAUAUUUAAAUAUUUGAUUAUACUAGACCAAAUACAGAAAUAAGAAAUAUAAAUUAAAUAAUAGGAACUCAAAUAGUAACAAAGAAGAAUGGACAGGGGGCU
RNAcentral lists this long non-coding RNA (236 nucleotides) under Elaeis guineensis (African oil palm). RNAcentral describes it as "long non-coding RNA (EGUI_LNC005786)". Lineage: Eukaryota; Viridiplantae; Streptophyta; Magnoliopsida; Arecales; Arecaceae. The record is from RNAcentral.